RNAcentral lists this ribosomal RNA (1273 nucleotides) under uncultured bacterium. RNAcentral describes it as "bacterial SSU rRNA". It matches the Rfam family "Bacterial small subunit ribosomal RNA", at positions 63 to 1343 of the family's 1533-position model. The record is from RNAcentral.
CGAACGGACUUAACUCAUUCUUUUAGAUUGAGAGCGGUUAGUGGCGGACUGGUGAGUAACACGUAAGCAACCUGCCUAUCAGAGGGGAAUAACAGUGAGAAAUCAUUGCUAAUACCGCAUAUGCUCACAGUAUCACAUGAUACAGUGAGGAAAGGAGCAAUCCGCUGAUAGAUGGGCUUGCGCCUGAUUAGUUAGUUGGUGGGGUAACGGCCUACCAAGACGACGAUCAGUAGCCGGACUGAGAGGUUGAACGGCCACAUUGGGACUGAGAUACGGCCCAGACUCCUACGGGAGGCAGCAGUCGGGAAUAUUGCGCAAUGGAGGAAACUCUGACGCAGUGACGCCGCGUAUAGGAAGAAGGUUUUCGGAUUGUAAACUAUUGUCGUUAGGGAAGAUAAAAGACUGUACCUAAGGAGGAAGCCCCGGCUAACUAUGUGCCAGCAGCCGCGGUAAUACAUAGGGGGCAAGCGUUAUCCGGAAUUAUUGGGUGUAAAGGGUGCGUAGACGGAAGAACAAGUUGGUUGUGAAAUCCCUCGGCUCAACUGAGGAACUGCAACCAAAACUAUUCUCCUUGAGUGUCGGAGAGGGAAAGUGGAAUUUCCUAGUGUAGCGGGAAAAUGCGUAGAUAUUAGGAGGAACACCAGUGGCGAAGGCGACUUUUUGGACGAUAACUGACGUUGAGGCACGAAAGUGUGGGGAGCAAACAGGAUUAGAUACCCUGGUAGUCCACACUGUAAACGAUGGAUACUAGGUGUAGGGUGUAUUAAGCACUCUGUGCCGCCGCUAACGCAUUAAGUAUCCCACCUGGGGAGUACGACCGCAAGGUUGAAACUCAAAGGAAUUGACGGGGGCCCGCACAAGCAGUGGAGUAUGUGGUUUAAUUCGAAGCAACGCGAAGAACCUUACCAGGGCUUGACAUAUACCAGAAUAUACUAGAGAUAGUAUAGUCCUUCGGGACUGGUAUACAGGUGGUGCAUGGUUGUCGUCAGCUCGUGUCGUGAGAUGUUGGGUUAAGUCCCGCAACGAGCGCAACCCCUAUCGUUAGUUGCUAGCAGGUAAUGCUGAGAACUCUAGCGAGACUGCCGGUGAUAAAUCGGAGGAAGGUGGGGAUGACGUCAAAUCAUCAUGCCCUUUAUGUCCUGGGCUACACACGUACUACAAUGGCCGUAACAGAGGGAAGCAAUAUAGUGAUAUGGAGCAAAACCCUAAAAGCGGUCUCAGUUCGGAUUGAAGGCUGAAAUUCGCCUUCAUGAAGCUGGAAUUGCUAGUAAUG